Non-coding RNA from Macaca mulatta (Rhesus monkey), 1989 nucleotides. Lineage: Eukaryota; Metazoa; Chordata; Mammalia; Primates; Cercopithecidae. The record is from RefSeq and is a predicted model, not a curated record.
UCCAGGCCGUCGCAGCCACUGCCCUGAUCGGCCAGGGGCCGCGAUACUGGUUGCUCGCGGUGUGAGCAGAAUUCAAUGUGUAUCACUGCCGCGAAGAUGGAGGGGCUUUGUCCGUGUACCGUGACCGCAGCACUGGGGAAGCGAUCCGCUACCAGAAUGAAAUGGGUUUCGCUGUGUUGCCCAAGGGGUUCUCGAACUCCUGGCAUCAAGCUAUCCUCCUGCCUCGGCAUCUCAGUGUUGGGAUUACAGAUGUGAGCCACAGUGUCCGCCCCAUUUAGACUCCUAUUAUGGCUGCAGCUUCCAUUGCCAAUAUUGUAAAAAGUUCUCUAGGUCCAGUUGGCUUGGAUAAAAUGCUUGUGGAUGAUAUUGGUGAUGUAACCAUUACUAACGAUGGUGCAACCAUCCUGAAGUUACUGGAAGUUGAACAUCCUGCAGCUAAAGUUCUUUGUGAGCUGGCUGAUCUGCAAGACAAAGAAGUUGGAGAUGGAACUACGUCAGUGGUUAUUACUGCUGCAGAACUCCUAAAAAAUGCAGAUGAAUUAGUCAGACAGAAAAUUCAUCCCACAUCAGUUAUUAGUGGCUAUCGACUUGCUUGCAAGGAAGCAGUGUGUUAUAUCAAUGAAAACCUAAUUGUUAACAGAGACGAACUGGGAAGAGAUUGCCUGAUUAAUGCUGCUAAGACAUCCAUGUCUUCCAAAAUCAUUGGAAUAAAUGGUGAUUUCUUUGCUAACAUGAUAGUGGAUGCUGUACUUGCUAUUAAAUACACAGACACAAGAGGCCAGCCACGCUAUCCAGUCAAUUCUGUUAAUAUUUUGAAAACCCAUGGGAGAAGUCAAACAGAGAGUAUGCUCAUCAGUGGCUAUGUACUCAACUGUGUGGUGGGAUCCCAGGGCAUGCCCAAGAGAAUCAUAAAUGCAAAAAUUGCUUGCCUUGACUUUAGCCUGCAAAAACCAAAAACGAAGCUUGGUGUACAGGUAGUCAUUACAGACCCUGAAAAACUGGACCAAAUUAGACAGAGAGAAUCAGGUAUCACCAAGGAGAGAAUUCAGAAGAUCCUAGCGACUGGUGCCAAUGUUAUUCUAACCACUGGUGGAAUUGAUGAUAUGUGUCUGAAGUAUUUUGUGGAGGCUGGUGCUAUGGCAGUUAGAAGAGUUUUAAAAAGGGAGCUUAAACGCCUUGUGAAAGCUUCUGGAGCAACUAUUCUGUCAACUCUGGCCAAUUUGGAAGGUGAAGAAACUUUUGAAGCUGCAAUGUUGGGACAGGCAGAAGAAGUGGUACAGGAGAGAAUUUGUGAGAUUGAGCUGAUCUUAAUCAAAAACACCAAGGCUCAUACAUCUGCAUCGAUUAUCUUACGUGGGGCAAAUGAUUUCAUGUAUGAUGAGAUGGAGCGCUCUUUACAUGAUACACUUUGUGUAGUGAAGAGAGUUUUGGAGUCAAAAUCCAUGGUUCCCGGUGGAGGUGGUGCUGUAGAAGCAACCCUUUCCAUAUACCUUGAAAACUAUGCAACCAGCAUGGGGUCUCGGGAACAGCUUGCUAUUGCAGAGUUUGCAAGAUCACUUCUUGUUAUUCCCAAUACACUAGCAGUUAAUGCUGCCCAGGACUCCACAGAUCUGGUUGCAAAAUUAAGAGCUUUUCAUAAUGAGGCUCAGGUUAACCCAGAACGUAAAAAUCUAAAUGGAUUGGUCUUGAUUGAGCAAUGGUAAACCUCGAGACAACAAACAAGCAGGGGUGUUUGAACCACCCAUAGUUACAGUUAAGCGUUUGAAAUUUGCAACAGAAGCUGCAAUUACCAUUCUUCAAAUUGAUGAUCUUGUUAAAUUAUAUCCAGAAAGUAAAGAUGAUAAACAUGGAAGUUAUGAAGAUGCUGUUCACUCUGGAGCCCUUAAUGAUUGAUCUGAUGUCUCUUUUAUUUAUAACAAUGUUAAAUGCAAUUGUCUUGUACCUUGAGUUAAGUAUUACACAUUAAAGUACAACAAACUGUAAAAAAAA